GCCAAACAGCUAGCUUAAUCACCCAGAUAACCUCACAACAUAAAUAACCCAACACAAACCUAACAACAAAAACUAAACCAUUCUAUUACCUUAGUACGGGAGACGGAAAAGGUUAACCAUAGAGCAAUAGAAAAAGUACCGCAAGGGAAAGCUGAAAGAGAAAUGAAAUAACCCAUAUAAGCACAAAAAAGCAGAGACUAGAACUCGUACCUUUUGCAUCAUGAUUUAGCCAGUCAUACUCAAGCAAAGAGACCUUUAGUUUGAAAUCCCGAAACCAGGUGAGCUACCCCGAGACAGCCUAUUUAGGGCCAACCCGUCUCUGUGGCAAAAGAGUGGGAAGAGCUCCGGGUAGAGGUGACAGACCUACCGAACCUGGUGAUAGCUGGUUGCCUAGGAAAUGGAUAGAAGUUCAGCCUCGUACUCCCCCAAUCAAACAAGUGAACACAAACACAGACCAAAGAGAAACAUACGAGAGUUAGUUAAAGGGGGUACAGCCCCUUCAACCAAGGACACAACCUUAACAGGAGGAUAAGGAUCAUACUUUUCAAAACCACCCGUUUUAGUGGGCCUAAAAGCAGCCACCUGAACAGAAAGCGUUAAAGCUCAAACGGAACAAAGUUUAUUAUUCUGAUAACCAAUCCUACUCCCCUAAAUAUACUAGGCCGCUCCAUGCCCACAUGGAAGAGACUAUGCUAAAAUGAGUAAUAAGAAGACACGCUCUUCUCCAAGCACAAGUGUAAGCUAGAUCGGACCCGCCACUGGCAAUUAACGAACCCAACCCAAGAGGGAAAUCCGAAUACCAAAAAAACCAAGAAAAACUCGUAACCCCAAUCGUUAACCCCACACUGGAGUGCUAAACCCAAGGAAAGACUGAAAGAAAGGGAAGGAACUCGGCAAACACAAGCCUCGCCUGUUUACCAAAAACAUCGCCUCCUGCCAAACCCUAAGUAUAGGAGGUCCAGCCUGCCCAGUGACUACACAGUUCAACGGCCGCGGUAUUUUGACCGUGCAAAGGUAGCGCAAUCACUUGUCUUUUAAAUGAAGACCUGUAUGAAUGGCCAAACGAGGGCUUAACUGUCUCCCCUUUCAGGUCAAUGAAAUUGAUCUAUCCGUGCAGAAGCGGGUAUAAAAAUACAAGACGAGAAGACCCUUUGGAGCUUAAGGUACAAACCCACCCACGUCAAACAACUUAACAAAAAGCACGAACUUAAUGGAAACUGGGAUAUUACCUUCGGUUGGGGCGACCACGGAGGAAAGAAAAGCCUCCGAGUGGACUGGGAAUAUUCCCAAAGCCAAGAGAAACAUCUCUAAGCCACAGAACAUCUGACCAACUAUGAUCCGGCCACAAGGCCGAUCAACGAACCAAGUUACCCUAGGGAUAACAGCGCAAUCCUCUCCCAGAGUCCAUAUCGACGAGGGGGUUUACGACCUCGAUGUUGGAUCAGGACAUCCUAAUGGUGCAGCCGCUAUUAAGGGUUCGUUUGUUCAACGAUUAAAGUCCUACGUGAUCUGAGUUCAGACCGGAGCAAUCCAGGUCAGUUUCUAUCUGUAAUGCUACUUUUCCUAGUACGAAAGGACCGGAAAAAGGGGGCCUCUACCCAAAGCACGCCCCACCCCUAACUAAUGAAAACAACUUAAUUAGACAAAGGGAGAGCAUAACCCACAAGUUCAAGAUAAGAACAU
This 1683-nucleotide ribosomal RNA is filed under the name Gyrinocheilus aymonieri (Siamese algae-eater). RNAcentral's name for it is "16S ribosomal RNA". It matches the Rfam family "Bacterial large subunit ribosomal RNA". The record is from RNAcentral. Lineage: Eukaryota; Metazoa; Chordata; Actinopteri; Cypriniformes; Gyrinocheilidae.